This 442-nucleotide ribosomal RNA is filed under the name uncultured bacterium. Its description in RNAcentral is "partial 16S ribosomal RNA". It matches the Rfam family "Bacterial small subunit ribosomal RNA", at positions 338 to 795 of the family's 1533-position model. The record is from RNAcentral.
CCUACGGGAGGCAGCAGUGGGGGAUAUUGCACAAUGGGGGAAACCCUGAUGCAGCGACGCCGCGUGGGUGAAGAAGUAUUUCGGUAUGUAAAGCCCUAUCAGCAGGGAAGAAGAAAUGACGGUACCUGAGUAAGAAGCACGGGCUAAAUACGUGCCAGCAGCCGCGGUAAUACGUAGGGGGCAAGCGUUAUCCGGAUGUACUGGGUGUAAAGGGAGCGCAGGCGGCACGGCAAGCCUGAUGUGAAAGCCCGCGGCGCAACCGCGGGACUGCAUUGGAAACUGCCGGGCUGGAGUGCCGGAGAGGUAGGCGGAAUUCCUAGUGUAGCGGUGAAAUGCGUAGAUAUCAAGAGGAAUACUCAUUGCGAAGGCGACCUACUGGAACAUUACUGACGCUCAUGCACGAAAGCGUGGGGAGCAAACAGGAUUAGAUACCCCAGUAGUC